RNAcentral lists this long non-coding RNA (653 nucleotides) under Monodelphis domestica (gray short-tailed opossum). RNAcentral's name for it is "lncRNA (ENSMODG00000041048.1)". Lineage: Eukaryota; Metazoa; Chordata; Mammalia; Didelphimorphia; Didelphidae. The record is from RNAcentral.
ACAGCUUAUAUCAUUCCCAGGGUCAGAGCUUGAUGAGAGGGGUCAUUUAAUCACUUGAAGGAGCAUGGGGUAGAUAUAGGGGCAAUGAUUCUGGAAUGAGAAUCCUGGAAGUUCAAAUCUCAACCAUGGCUUUUAUUUCUGCCUUUUGGACCACAUGCCCCAUUGCCCCCACCAAGAAUACCAGCAUAAUAAUGACUCUUCCAAAGAACUUACAUUCACUGGAGAACUAGGAACCAAUAAGACUGUUCUACCAACCAAUGCUAGAGUUAAAAGAUUCCAGAGGCAAUGGGUGGAAUCCUCACUCUAAUACUGGGAGACUGUCCUGGUACUGUGCAGCCAUUCUAAGAACUGUGUGGUGACUCCUGGCAUCUGGAAGGCCCAUCUCUGAUCUGGACUAAGGUCAGAGUCCACCAAGUCAAAGGGGAUCUGAAAAGGGUAGGAAACAGAGGGACUUGCCUAGGAACCUCACAUAGAGGAGGUGGCCAGGGGAGCUCUGGUGCUGGUGCCUCGGUGGUAUGGCUGUGCAACUGGUUAGGGGGAGGGGGGAGUGGCUAGGAGAGGGUCAAAGAUGGGCUAGUGGGGGCUGCUUAGAAGAGCCCCUGUGUGUAUCACACAGUUGGGCUGGUUGGGGUAUGUCUUAGGUCUGACAAGGG